GAGAAAUGGCAGAGUGGUCGAAUGCACUGGUCUUGAAAACCAGCGUACCGAGAGGUACCGGGGGUUCGAAUCCCUCUUUCUCC
This 83-nucleotide transfer RNA is filed under the name marine eukaryotic metagenome. It matches the Rfam family "tRNA". Rfam says of the family: Transfer RNA (tRNA) molecules are approximately 80 nucleotides in length. The record is from RNAcentral.